CUGCUUUGGCAGCACAUAAACUAAAAUUGGAACAACAUAGGGGAAAUUAGCAAAGCCCCUGCACAAAGAUGACAUGCAAUUUCAUGAAGUGUUCCAUGUUUUU
This is a small nuclear RNA of Artibeus jamaicensis (Jamaican fruit-eating bat), 103 nucleotides long. The record is from RefSeq and is a predicted model, not a curated record. NCBI's taxonomy places the organism in Eukaryota, Metazoa, Chordata, Mammalia, Chiroptera, Phyllostomidae.